Molecule: ribosomal RNA, 577 nt
Filed under: uncultured bacterium
Lineage: Bacteria
Description: bacterial SSU rRNA
Rfam family: Bacterial small subunit ribosomal RNA
Source: RNAcentral
CCUACGGGAGGCAGCAGUAAGGAAUAUUGGUCAAUGGACGAAAGUCUGAACCAGCCAUGCCGCGUGAAGGAUGAAGGCCCUCUGGGUUGUAAACUUCUUUUAUCUGGGACGAAAAAAGCUCAUUCUUGAGCACUUGACGGUACCAGAGGAAUAAGCACCGGCUAACUCCGUGCCAGCAGCCGCGGUAAUACGGAGGGUGCAAGCGUUAUCCGGAUUCACUGGGUUUAAAGGGUGCGUAGGUGGGUCUGUAAGUCAGUGGUGAAAUCUCCGAGCUUAACUCGGAAACUGCCAUUGAUACUAUAGGUCUUGAAUCAUCUGGAGGUAAGCGGAAUAUGUCAUGUAGCGGUGAAAUGCUUAGAUAUGACAUAGAACACCAAUUGCGAAGGCAGCUUACUACGGGUGUAUUGACACUGAGGCACGAAAGCGUGGGGAUCAAACAGGAUUAGAUACCCUGGUAGUCCACGCCCUAAACGAUGGAUACUCGACAUCAGCGAUACACUGUUGGUGUCUGAGCGAAAGCAUUAAGUAUCCCACCUGGAAGUACGACCGCAAGGUUGAAACUCAAAGGAAUUGACGG